ACAUCCAGCGAACUUGGCAGAGAUGCCUUGGUGCCUUCGGGAACGCUGAGACAGGUGCUGCAUGGCUGUCGUCAGCUCGUGUUGUGAAAUGUGGGUUAAGUCCCGNAACGAGCGCAACCCUUAUCCUUUGUUGCCAGCGAUUCGGUCGGGAACUCAAAGGAGACUGCCGGUGAUAAACCGGAGGAAGGUGGGGAUGACGUCAAGUCAUCAUGGCCCUUACGAGUAGGGCUACACACGUGCUACAAUGGCGCAUACAAAGAGAAGCGACCUCGCGAGAGCAAGCGGACCUCAUAAAGUGCGUCGUAGUCCGGAUCGGAGUCUGCAACUCGACUCCGUGAAGUCGGAAUCGCUAGUAAUCGUGGAUCAGAAUGCCACGGUGAAUACGUUCCCGGGCCUUGUACACACCGCCCGUCACACCAUGGGAGUGGGUUGCAAAAGAAGUAGGUAGCUUAACCCUCGGGAGGGCGCUUACCACUUUGUGAUUCAUGACUGGGGUGAAGUCGUAACAAGGUAGGCGUAGUGCU
This 524-nucleotide ribosomal RNA is filed under the name uncultured bacterium. RNAcentral's name for it is "bacterial SSU rRNA". It matches the Rfam family "Bacterial small subunit ribosomal RNA", at positions 984 to 1509 of the family's 1533-position model. The record is from RNAcentral.